UGGGGAAUUUUGGACAAUGGGCGCAAGCCUGAUCCAGCCAUGCCGCGUGCAGGAUGAAGGCCUUCGGGUUGUAAACUGCUUUUGUACGGAACGAAAAGCCUUCUUCUAAUACAGGAGGGUCAUGACGGUACCGUAAGAAUAAGCACCGGCUAACUACGUGCCAGCAGCCGCGGUAAUACGUAGGGUGCGAGCGUUAAUCGGAAUUACUGGGCGUAAAGCGUGCGCAGGCGGUUUUGUAAGACAGAGGUGAAAUCCCCGGGCUCAACCUGGGAACUGCCUUUGUGACUGCAAGGCUGGAGUGCGGCAGAGGGGGAUGGAAUUCCGCGUGUAGCAGUGAAAUGCGUAGAUAUGCGGAGGAACACCGAUGGCGAAGGCAAUCCCCUGGGCCUGCACUGACGCUCAUGCACGAAAGCGUGGGGAGCAAACA
This 427-nucleotide ribosomal RNA is filed under the name uncultured Comamonadaceae bacterium. RNAcentral's name for it is "bacterial SSU rRNA". It matches the Rfam family "Bacterial small subunit ribosomal RNA", at positions 355 to 774 of the family's 1533-position model. The record is from RNAcentral. Lineage: Bacteria; Pseudomonadati; Pseudomonadota; Betaproteobacteria; Burkholderiales; Comamonadaceae.